This is a long non-coding RNA of Lycium ferocissimum, 1264 nucleotides long. RefSeq lists it as uncharacterized. NCBI's taxonomy places the organism in Eukaryota, Viridiplantae, Streptophyta, Magnoliopsida, Solanales, Solanaceae. The record is from RefSeq and is a predicted model, not a curated record. The transcript is spliced from 3 exons.
UGUUUCAAUCUAGAUUCAUGUGUAUGCUCUUUUCUGUAGCUUCUUUGCAAUAGAACAUGUCUAUGGACCUGUUUUAACCGUCCUGUGUUGCUUUCUUUUUUAGACCUUUUACAUUGUCUGGAACCUCUGCUUCAUCUCAACCAACUGUCUAACUUUGUUCAGUUUACCUUGUCAAUUAUCACAUGUAUCUAGACUUGGUUUCUUUGCAUUGUAGGUUCACUUUGUCAAUAAUUAAAACUUCACACAUGGCUUUAUACCAACAGUUCCAAGUUGAAGCAAGCUAUAAUCUGAGUUGUUUUGGUUGUAUUGAAGAUUGAAGCGUAAAGGAAAUUGUUCCCAACAGUAGUAAGAGCUUGGCGUAAGAGAUACAAUUUGCCUUCGGGGCUAUACAGAGAUACAACUUGCCUUCGGGGCUAUACAGAGAUACAAUUUUCCUUCAGGGCUAUUUACAUUUGCCUUCAGGGUUAUGCACUGCCUUUGGACCAUUCACGUUGCCUUCGGGGCUAUGCACUUACACAGGGACCCCACAUGAGGCAGGAUAAUUUAUUUUCAGUAUUGCAUUCAAGACACGAGACAGAGACAAGUAGAUAUGUUUCCAGAUUAUCAUUGAAUUAAUCCUCAGUUUACAUUCAGUAUAUCUUGUAUAUCAGUUUAGUUUAAGUUUCAGUUAUUCAGUUGCCUCACAUACUCGGUAUAUUGUUUUGUACUGACGUCCCUUUUGCCGGGGAUGCUGCAUUUAAUGCUUGCGCAGUCCCGACGACGGUAUAUACGAGCCUUCAUAGUAGACGGUGUCGAGUAUCAACUAGAUUGGUAUGCUCCAUUUCAUCCAAAGUUACCAGGUCAAGAGUUGGAGUCAUUUUACAUACAUAGACAUGAUGGGUAGAGGGGGCUUUGUCCGGACCACAAUACAGUUAUGUUUUUCUUAGAGGCUUAUAGGCUUGUCUUAUACGUACAAUAUGUCAGCAUGGUAGCCUUGUCGGCCUUGUAUAUAUUUGUUUGGGGUUUUGUUGUUUGUAGAUAUGUAUGGUGGCCUUGUCGGUCCACAUAGGUGCUUAUAUAUAUGUUGGGGAGAUCCCAUUUUAGUGAGAUAGUUAUUAUCUACAUAUUAUUCAGAUUACACCCUUGUCAGCCUAAGAUAGCAUACUUGUGUUAUAGAUUGGCCUUGUCGGCCUAGAUUGUUGUGUAUGUUCAGGUUAAAUGAGUUACAGUAGUAUGCUCGGAGUCAAGUAAGGCAUCAGGUGCCAGCCACGCCUCCUUAGGAUUG